Long non-coding RNA from Canis lupus familiaris (dog), 380 nucleotides. RefSeq lists it as uncharacterized. NCBI's taxonomy places the organism in Eukaryota, Metazoa, Chordata, Mammalia, Carnivora, Canidae. The transcript is spliced from 3 exons. The record is from RefSeq and is a predicted model, not a curated record.
AAGCAAUACAAAACAAAUGAAUGUCAUGGAUAACUUUUCAGCAUUACAGAAUCUGCUGUUAUCUGAGAGCUUUUGACAACUAACAAGUACCACAUAAGAUCCUACAUCUGGAGAUGUAUUUAGGUCUUCAGACUCAGACUAAUAUCUACAGCCUUGGUUCUCCAGCUCUCAAGCCUUCAAAGCACACCACUGGCUUGCAUGGUCUAUAGCUUGCAGACAGCAGAUCAUGGGACUUUUCAGCCUCCAAAAUCAUAUAUAUUGCAAAGUCUGAAGAGAUUAAUAAGAGGAUAUAGAAGAAUGUGCUUUGAAGCCUGUGAAGUGCUACAGACAUUGAACAUAAUACUAUUAAAAUCUUUCAUGAAGAGGAGAAUUUAUGAAUU